RNAcentral lists this microRNA precursor (128 nucleotides) under Olea europaea subsp. europaea. Its description in RNAcentral is "mir-393 microRNA precursor family". It matches the Rfam family "mir-393 microRNA precursor family". Lineage: Eukaryota; Viridiplantae; Streptophyta; Magnoliopsida; Lamiales; Oleaceae. The record is from Rfam by way of RNAcentral.
AAAGGAUGAAUCCAAAGGGAUCGCAUGAUCCAAAUUCAGUAUAAACAGUUUAACCCUAAAAUAAGAAACGAAGUUGAACUUAAAGAACACAGAAUCGAGAUCAAUGCGAUCCCUUUGGAUGCCUCCUU